CUUCUACCAGAAAAACAAAAUCAAAUCGAAACAAGGAGGCAAGAAUCAGGUUAAUUUUUGUCUUUUUCCAGUGAAAAUAUUCCUCACUUAAUGUAUAAUGUACUUUUCUUCCACAUUCUGGCUAGUUAAGUGGGAACAAGGCAAAGGAGGUGGAGAGCGAGCCAAGUGGGCAGAGAAGGGCUGGGGAGAGAAAGACGAAGGAGGAAAGAGGAGAGCAGCUUUGCAGUGAUUGAACACUUGCGUAGAAGAUGUCUUGGUUAUUUCCUCAGAUUAUGGAGGUGGGAUGGAGGAACAAACACACACAGUGUAUCAGUUAGGAAAGUGGCCACAAAUAAUAGAAAACCUGACUAUGGUGGAUUAAAUAAUUAGAGGUUUAAUUUUCUCACAUAAGGAAUCUGAAGGUAGCUUGCUGGCACUAGUUGAGCAGCAGAGCAUUGGCAGGACCCAGCAUCUCUCUAAUUAGCUUAGCUUUUCCUCAUGAUCACAAAAUGGCUGCUAAAGCUCCAGCUAUCACAUGUGCAUUCAAAGACAGAAGGAGGAAGGAGAAAAGACAACUGCAUCUGUCACCUUUUAUCAAGAAAGUAACAAUUUUCCCAGAAACUAGCCCAGCAGACUUCCCCUUAGGUCUCAGCCAGAACUGAAUCACAUGGCCACCCUUAGCUGGAAGAGAGGCUGGGAAGGUGGGGGACAGGAUUGUCAUGACCUGUCAUCUGAGGCUGAGUCCACCGAUGCCCUGAACAAAAUUGGAGUCUUAUCCCCAGAGAAGAAGGUUGGAAUAGAUAUUGGGUGGUGUUGUGGAUUGAAUCGUGGCCCCAAAAAAUAUAUGUUGGAGUCCUAACCCCCGGGACCUCAGAAUGUGAGCUUAUUUGGAAAUAGGGCUGUGCUCCAGUGUAACCUUGAAACUUCAGUUAUUCAGUCUCUCACUGUUCUGGAGGCUGGCAGUCCACAGUGAAGGUGGUGGCGGGGCUGCACUCCCUCUGCAGGCUCUAGGGACGCACGUUUCUUGUUUUCCAGCUUCUGGGGUCCCCAGGUGUUCCUUGGCUCAUGGCCGCAUCACUCCAGUCUCUGGCUCUGUCAUCACAUAACCUUCUCCUCCGUGUCUAUGUCUCUCCUCUUCUCUUAUAAGGACAUUUGUCACUGGAUUUAAGACCCAUGCCAGGAGCAGGAUUCCCAGGUUCUCAACCUGACGUACCUGGCAGGUGGGCCAAAUGCUCCACUUCCUGAGGUUGCAGGGCUCCGAGAGUGAGCCAGCUGACAGGUCUCUAGCUGUCAGCAAGGGAACUGGCAGGAAAGCCUGUGCCAGCCUUCUAUGGGCCAGCCCGGCCCCACCUCCAAACUUCCAACUCUCCUGCCUCCUCCCCACUUCUGUUUUGCCAGGCCCUCUGGCCUGUCCUUCCCAGCCCCUGCCACCCGCC
Molecule: long non-coding RNA, 1415 nt
Filed under: Equus caballus (horse)
Lineage: Eukaryota; Metazoa; Chordata; Mammalia; Perissodactyla; Equidae
Description: lncRNA (ENSECAG00000055456.1)
Source: RNAcentral